RNAcentral lists this ribosomal RNA (134 nucleotides) under Vulpes vulpes (red fox). Lineage: Eukaryota; Metazoa; Chordata; Mammalia; Carnivora; Canidae. The record is from RNAcentral.
GUCUAUGGCCAAACCACCCUGAACUCUCCCUAUCUUGUCUGAUCUCAGAAUCUAAGCAGGGUCAGACCUGGUUAGUACUUGGAUGGGAGGCAUAAUGUUUUUUUCACCAGCAGUGGCCAAGGGAGUCCCAGGUA